Mercurialis annua (annual mercury) is the source of this 1092-nucleotide long non-coding RNA. RefSeq lists it as uncharacterized. The record is from RefSeq and is a predicted model, not a curated record. Lineage: Eukaryota; Viridiplantae; Streptophyta; Magnoliopsida; Malpighiales; Euphorbiaceae. The transcript is spliced from 2 exons.
UGAUUUUCUCCGUGGCAGGUGCAAUGAGCUUAUGUUCUUUGCAUUGAUGCCGGUCAAAUUGGUUUUCACUUGCCUCUAACUCAAUUGAAGCAGGAUGCGCGGAAGGUGCCACGGGCUCCAGUGGAACUUCACUGUCAUGACAAGAAACACUUGUGGACCCAUUUUCAACAGCACUUGUGCUAGGUUCUAUGUAUACUUCAGGUUCCUUAAUUUCGUUGCCAAUUAAGACGCCACCUGCUGGCUCUUUCUCUAGUGAAUGCAGAGAAGAUAGUCUUAGAUACUCCAUCAAUUGUAUUAGCCAAUUAGGUUUUAGAUGCUCAAAUACACAAAAUGAUAACUGUUAGAACUUUCGUAGUGUAUGAAGAAAAGGCCAAAUAAACUGCGUUAUUCACAUAAACUACCUUCAACAGUAAACUGAUCAACAGAGAUGGAAGAGGAAGACAUGGAUAUCUCGAUCUUAUCCACUUUAACAUCAUAUUGCUGCCAGUCAGUAAACAAGCAUGGGAAUCUGUUAGAAGCUGGUUAACUAUUAAGACUACAAAUAUCAGAUUCAAGACUAAGCUGAAAAAAAUAUAUUAAAACCAAUGGUUCUUCAAACAUUUGAAUAUUACAUCAAGAAAAUAUAUAGUUCAAGAAGAUACAGUUCACUGAAAGGAGUUCAUUACUUCUACAGAGACAAAAACAACUUUGUACUAAUUACCUCUUGUGUAGGAGAGUGGUGUAACAAUUUUGUUUGAAAAUUAUUCUCAAAGGAUCUGCCUGAAGAAGUGGGAGAUAAUUUUCCUCCACAUGUAAAAGCUUGUCUGGAAGAAGAGGACGAAGCAUUAUUUGGAGCUGAUGAUGCUGCACCAUAGCACUUGCUAAGAAUGCCCUUAUUAUUUCUGGAAUCCAUGCGGUGAGUAUCUAGGUCCGAGCUCACUUUAUACUCAGCUGGAACAUUUUGUUGCUUCCCUUCAAUAGGAUUAUGUUCCUUCCUAUUCAAGUCCAAUGAAUCUAGAGAAAGUGUGUACACCUUAGAAAUAAGACGACUUGCAGAUACAUAAGCACAGGAAGCAGAAUGCCGUGACUCAGCAACACAGACCUAUAUAUAGC